AAUCGGAGAGUCAUUAGUCUGAGCAUUCUACAUCAUCUGAGAAAUUGAAGAACAAAGAGGAUUGACAGGUGUUACGAACAGGAGGCAUCGAGAAAUAUGUACCUACAUACUUGAUCCAAAGAUCAUGAUGUGACUGGAGCGAGUACAGGGAACACCGAGUUGAUUACCAUGGUAGUGCUGCUGGAGUUCACAAUUGAGCGGAAGCAAAAUCAUAUAAUCUUACAACCAUAGACGAGUGCAUGCUUGAUUUUGCUUUGCAAAUUUGCACUGAUGUUUGUAAUUAAGGAAAGCUGGCCAUCCACAAGACGUGAUAUGGAGCUUUUGCUACAGCUUAUUACCUAUUUUGCAGUUUUCAAGUCUUUCUGGAACUAUGACUAACAUCUGUAUAUUUGUUGCUAUGUACAUAU
This 407-nucleotide long non-coding RNA is filed under the name Oryza brachyantha (malo sina). RNAcentral describes it as "long non-coding RNA (OBRA_LNC002606)". Lineage: Eukaryota; Viridiplantae; Streptophyta; Magnoliopsida; Poales; Poaceae. The record is from RNAcentral.